GGUGCUGUGGCUCAAGUAGUAGAGUGCGUGUCUAGCAUUCAUGAAGCCCUGGAUUCGAUUCCUCAGUACCA
This 71-nucleotide transfer RNA is filed under the name Dipodomys ordii (Ord's kangaroo rat). It matches the Rfam family "tRNA". Rfam says of the family: Transfer RNA (tRNA) molecules are approximately 80 nucleotides in length. Their secondary structure includes four short double-helical elements and three loops (D, anti-codon, and T loops). Further hydrogen bonds mediate the characteristic L-shaped molecular structure. tRNAs have two regions of fundamental functional importance: the anti-codon, which is responsible for specific mRNA codon recognition, and the 3' end, to which the tRNAs corresponding amino acid is attached (by aminoacyl-tRNA synthetases). tRNAs cope with the degeneracy of the genetic code in two manners: having more than one tRNA (with a specific anti-codon) for a particular amino acid; and 'wobble' base-pairing, i.e. permitting non-standard base-pairing at the 3rd anti-codon position. Lineage: Eukaryota; Metazoa; Chordata; Mammalia; Rodentia; Heteromyidae. The record is from Rfam by way of RNAcentral.